Molecule: ribosomal RNA, 324 nt
Filed under: uncultured Rubrobacteria bacterium
Lineage: Bacteria; Bacillati; Actinomycetota; Rubrobacteria
Description: bacterial SSU rRNA
Rfam family: Bacterial small subunit ribosomal RNA
Source: RNAcentral
UGGCUCAGAACGAACGCUGGCGGCGUGCUUAACACAUGCAAGUGGAGCGACGAACCAGGGCUUGCCCUGGAGCAAAGCCGCGAACGGGUGAGUAACACGUGGGUUACCUGCCCCGAUGACCGGGACAACUCGAGGAAACUCGGGCUAAUACCGGAUGUGCCCGCAAGGGGAAAGGAAGCUUCGGCCUCCGCAUCGGGAUGGGCCCGCGGCCCAUUAGCUUGUUGGUGGGGUAAUGGCUUACCAAGGCAACGGUGAGUAGCUGGUCUGAGAGGACGAUCAGCCACACUGGGACUGUUUCUCGGUCCAGACGACUACGGGAGGCAG